RNAcentral lists this ribosomal RNA (442 nucleotides) under uncultured bacterium. RNAcentral describes it as "partial 16S ribosomal RNA". It matches the Rfam family "Bacterial small subunit ribosomal RNA", at positions 339 to 795 of the family's 1533-position model. The record is from RNAcentral.
CUACGGGGUGCACCAGUGGGGGAUAUUGCACAAUGGAGGAAACUCUGAUGCAGCAACGCCGCGUGAGGGAAGAAGGUUUUCGGAUUGUAAACCUCUGUUUUUAGUAAAGAAACAAAUGACGGUAGCUAAAGAGGAAGCCACGGCUAACUACGUGCCAGCAGCCGCGGUAAUACGUAGGUGGCAAGCGUUGUCCGGAUUUACUGGGUGUAAAGGGUGCGCAGGCGGGACUGCAAGUUGGAUGUGAAAUGCUGAGGCUUAACCUCAGAGCUGCAUCCAAAACUGUGGUUCUUGAGUGGAGUAGAGGUAAGCGGAAUUCCGAGUGUAGCGGUGAAAUGCGUAGAUAUUCGGAGGAACACCAGUGGCGAAGGCGGCUUACUGGGCUCUAACUGACGCUGAGGCACGAAAGCAUGGGUAGCAAACAGGAUUAGAUACCCGGGUAGUC